Gorilla gorilla gorilla (western lowland gorilla) is the source of this 148-nucleotide non-coding RNA. It matches the Rfam family "Metazoan signal recognition particle RNA". From Rfam's summary of the family: The signal recognition particle (SRP) is a universally conserved ribonucleoprotein. It is involved in the co-translational targeting of proteins to membranes. The record is from Rfam. NCBI's taxonomy places the organism in Eukaryota, Metazoa, Chordata, Mammalia, Primates, Hominidae.
GCCGGGCAUGGUGGCGCAUGCCUGUAGUCCCAGUUACUCAGGAGGCUGAGGCAGGAGAAUCACUUGAACCCAGGAGGUGGAGGUUGCAGUGGGCCGAGAUCGUGCCACUGCACUCCAGCCUGGGUGACAGAGCAAGACUCUGUCUCAA